This is a long non-coding RNA of Mya arenaria, 757 nucleotides long. RefSeq lists it as uncharacterized. NCBI's taxonomy places the organism in Eukaryota, Metazoa, Mollusca, Bivalvia, Myida, Myidae. The transcript has 2 exons. The record is from RefSeq and is a predicted model, not a curated record.
CGAACUCACAACCACCAGAACCGCCCGGCACUCUAACCAACUAAGCUGACCGGGCAGCUGGUUCUAACCCACACACACUACCCUCCCCGCAUUUACCGGUUAAGGCUGGUGGAGGGUCUCCUGCUAUUUACCGUUGACAGUGAUGACAAGUUUUACAAAUAAUCGGAAAGUGUGGUCUUUUGAAGAGAGUUCUUGAAGUUGUUCAGCAUGUUGUUUUGAUGGAUUCUUGGAAGGAUGUACCUCUAUGAUGUUAGCUUCAGUUCUGGAGUAUAACACCAGUUGUUGCAUAUUUAAUAUCAGAUUUAUUAAAUACAUUGUUGUUUUGCAAACAUUACUUAAACUUUGAUAUUUCUUUGGUGUUUAUGUAUGAUAUUAUAGGUGAAUAUCUCUUUAUUGCAAUGGCAAAUAUAUUUUAAAAUAUAUAGCAUUAGCAGAAGUUAUUUUUCACUGUUAAAGCUGCACUUUCACAGAUUGAUCACUUUGCCAACUUACACAGGAUUCGAUUGCAUUUAUCAUAUUUUGGCUCGGAGAAGUUUGCUUUGUGAUUUAUAUAUUAGGUCUUAAUUUAAAGAAUGCCAAAACAAGCCGAUUCUGAGACAAAAAGUGUCAAACUAGAAUUCUGUGAGAGUGCAACUUUAAGAAUACUGUUAAUCGAGUGUGCAUGUGAUCCGGACUCUGAACAUUGAAUGAACUAUCAUUAAAUAUUGUAGAUUUACGUAAAUGGCCCAAAAUAAAAGAAUAACAAUGAAAAUAUGUA